This 1060-nucleotide long non-coding RNA is filed under the name Carica papaya (papaya). RNAcentral's name for it is "long non-coding RNA (CPAP_LNC015498)". Lineage: Eukaryota; Viridiplantae; Streptophyta; Magnoliopsida; Brassicales; Caricaceae. The record is from RNAcentral.
CCAAAUCCAGCUCGGGUCACGUCACUCACCAGGUAGCUCCGAACCACCGUGAAAUGCGGCCGAGCCUUCACCACCAUUAAAUCUGCCACCGAUCUCAUGUACUCCUCUGUAACCAACCCUUUUGCUUUCUUCACUAACUGUAAAGUAUACCCUAAUGGGUUUGCAUGUAUUUUCUUUGCUUGACUUAUAGCAACAGCAAAAGCGAACCCAUUACCAUAAUAACCAGUGGGUAAUGGUGGGUUGAAUUUAGUACGGGAGUUAACGAUGCAUAUAAUCCGCAUUUCUUCUUCCGGGUCUGGUUGGAGGGCGAUGGUACGACAACGCCAUAGACACGCAGUUAGGACUUCGAAGUUGGAAGAGCGACGAAGGUGAGGAGGGAGGAGACGACAAAUGGCGGCCAUUUCAGUAUGACCGAAGAAGAAAGAGCGGUGGAUCAUGUCAUCGACAGGGAUGAUGGUGCCCUUAAUGUCCUCCACCUCGUCAUAUUCAUGGUGAACACAGGUCACUCGCGGCGGGUCUCUCGCGGUUAGUAAGUGUCUUUCCCAGACGGGUUGGACAGAGGGAGAGUUUGCUCCUCGGGCCAUCUCCGCCACAGCAGUCAUGAACUGGACGAGACCAAAUGCAUCGCUCAUGGUGUGGUUCAGGCGGAGAGCGAAGAUAAAGCCGCCACACUUCAGGCGUGUAACCUAUUGUAUUUUUAAAGAAAUCAAAAAUUAAAAUUCAAUUGUAUAUAGUUGAAUACUUUACAUACAUAUAUAUAAAUCAAAAUUACUGAGUAACUUGUGCUAAAAGGCCAACUACAUGCGAAGUUGGCAUGACUCUAACAGGAUACCAUCCAUUACAUGAAUCUUGUUAUUUUUUUUAAAUAUAUAUGUAUAUAUAUAUAAAUUACUUAAUUUAUGCAUAAUUAAUCAAUUGAUAUACUUUUUAAUACUUAGAUUUUUUUUUAAGUUUCAUAGUUUAAAAUCUUUUUUAUAAGGUGGAGAAUAUAUUGUUAGCAUGACUAUUUUUUUCAUGAAUAUUUAUUUAAAAUCUUUUUAUAUUUGAAUAUAUAAUAAAA